AGCGUAGGCGGACAUUUAAGUCAGGGGUGAAAUCCCGGGGCUCAACCUCGGAAUUGCCUUUGAUACUGGGUGUCUUGAGUAUGAGAGAGGUGUGUGGAACUCCGAGUGUAGAGGUGAAAUUCGUAGAUAUUCGGAAGAACACCAGUGGCGAAGGCGGCUCACUGGACAGGUAUUGACGCUGAGGUGCGAAAGCGUGGGGAGCAAACA
This 207-nucleotide ribosomal RNA is filed under the name uncultured bacterium. RNAcentral's name for it is "partial 16S ribosomal RNA". It matches the Rfam family "Bacterial small subunit ribosomal RNA", at positions 568 to 774 of the family's 1533-position model. The record is from RNAcentral.